This 253-nucleotide ribosomal RNA is filed under the name uncultured bacterium. RNAcentral describes it as "partial 16S ribosomal RNA". It matches the Rfam family "Bacterial small subunit ribosomal RNA", at positions 524 to 776 of the family's 1533-position model. The record is from RNAcentral.
UACGGAAGGGGCAAGCGUUGUUCGGAAUCAUUGGGCGUAAAGGGCGCGUAGGCGGUCACGUAUGUCUGCUGUGAAAGCGCACGGCUCAACCGUGUGAAGUCGGUAGAAACUGCGGGACUUGAGGCUGGGAGAGGUUGGUGGAAUUCCCUGUGUAGCGGUGAAAUGCGUAGAUAUAGGGGAGAACACUCGUGGCGAAGGCGGCCAGCUGGACCAGCCCUGACGCUGAGGCGCGACAGCGUGGGGAGCAAACAGG